UAAAUACUUGUUUAGGAUUUAUGGGU
Molecule: non-coding RNA, 26 nt
Filed under: Mus musculus (house mouse)
Lineage: Eukaryota; Metazoa; Chordata; Mammalia; Rodentia; Muridae
Source: RNAcentral